GAUGAACGCUGGCGGCGUGCUUAACACAUGCAAGUCGAACGGAAAGGCUCCUGCUUGCAGGGGUACUCGAGUGGCGAACGGGUGAGUAACACGUGGGUGAUCUGCCCUGCACUUCGGGAUAAGCCUGGGAAACUGGGUCUAAUACCGGAUAGGACCACAUUUUGGAUGGUGUGGUGGAAAGUUUUUCGGUGUGGGAUGAGCUCGCGGCCUAUCAGCUUGUUGGUGGGGUAAUGGCCUACCAAGGCGUCGACGGGUAGCCGGCCUGAGAGGGUGUACGGCCACAUUGGGACUGAGAUACGGCCCAGACUCCUACGGGAGGCAGCAGUGGGGAAUAUUGCACAAUGGGCGCAAGCCUGAUGCAGCGACGCCGCGUGGGGGAUGACGGUCUUCGGGUUGUAAACUCCUUUCGCUAGGGACGAAGCGCAAGUGACGGUACCUGGAGAAGAAGCACCGGCUAACUACGUG
This 465-nucleotide ribosomal RNA is filed under the name uncultured bacterium. RNAcentral describes it as "partial 16S ribosomal RNA". It matches the Rfam family "Bacterial small subunit ribosomal RNA", at positions 28 to 507 of the family's 1533-position model. The record is from RNAcentral.